CACUGCACUGUUUCUGACUUUAUUUGAGUAUAACAGGGGCAGCUUCUGAGGAAGAGUACCCAUUUGAAAGGGAAUUGCUUUUUAGCACUCUUUGGCCAAAGCUAUACUCAAAACACUAAAGCUUACUGAGAAACUCUGAAUUUUUUGUGCAACAGAUCUUUUAGCAAAGCAUUAGUAAAGAAAUGAGCACGACUAAAAACUUAUUUAUUGAACACCAUCCAUAGAAUCAAGAAGGAGCGUUCAAUCUGUCAAUCCUUACCAUGUCUGGACCUGGUGAGUUUCUCCGGGUUGAGUCAAUUAAACCGCAGA
Molecule: long non-coding RNA, 309 nt
Organism: Zophobas morio
Lineage: Eukaryota; Metazoa; Arthropoda; Insecta; Coleoptera; Tenebrionidae
Exons: 2
Source: RefSeq, a predicted model, not a curated record